UACGGGAGGCAGCAGGUGGGGAAUAUUGCACAAUGGGCGCAAGCCUGAUGCAGCCAUGCCGCGUGUAUGAAGAAGGCCUUCGGGUUGUAAAGUACUUUCAGUCGUGAGGAAGGUGUUAAGGUUAAUAACCUUAGCAAUUGACGUUAGCGACAGAAGAAGCACCGGCUAACUCCGUGCCAGCAGCCGCGGUAAUACGGAGGGUGCGAGCGUUAAUCGGAAUUACUGGGCGUAAAGGGCACGCAGGCGGUUAAUUAAGUUGGAUGUGAAAUCCCCGGGCUUAACCUGGGAAUGGCAUUCAAGACUGGUUAGCUAGAGUCUUGUAGAGGGGGUAGAAUUCCAUGUGUAGCGGUGAAAUGCGUAGAGAUGUGGAGGAAAUACCGGUGGCGAAGGCGGCCCCUGGACAAAGACUGACGCUCAUGUGCGAAAGCGUGGGGAGGCAAACAGGAUUAGAUACC
This 455-nucleotide ribosomal RNA is filed under the name uncultured bacterium. Its description in RNAcentral is "bacterial SSU rRNA". It matches the Rfam family "Bacterial small subunit ribosomal RNA", at positions 340 to 786 of the family's 1533-position model. The record is from RNAcentral.